AUCCUUUUGUGGUUCACAAGCACAGUGAUUGGGUUUUUACACUCCUGUGUGACACGUGCCUCUCUCUCAAACCUCAUUACAACAUCAGUACAUUGCCUAUCUGAUG
Small nucleolar RNA from Saimiri boliviensis boliviensis (Bolivian squirrel monkey), 106 nucleotides. RefSeq annotates it as small nucleolar RNA U13. The record is from RefSeq and is a predicted model, not a curated record. Lineage: Eukaryota; Metazoa; Chordata; Mammalia; Primates; Cebidae.